AGACCAAGGGUUCCAGUCCAACGUUAAUCGGGGCUGGGUGAGUCGACCCCUAAGGCGAGGCCGAAAGGCGUAGUCGAUGGGAAAAUGGUUAAUAUUCCAUUACUUCUGUGUAAUGCGAUGAGAGGACGGAGAAGGCUAAAUCAGCCUGGCGUUGGUUGUCCAGGUGAAAGGAUGUAGGCAUGUAUCUUAGGCAAAUCCGGGGUACUCUAUGCUGAGAUCUGAUAGCAAGCUGUACUUGUACAGCGAAGUGGUUGAUGCCAUGCUUCCAGGAAAAGUCUCUAAGCUUCAGUUACACAGGAAUCGUACCCGAAACCGACACAGGUGGUCAGGUCGAGUAGACCAAGGCGCUUGAGAGAACUCUGCUGAAGGAACUAGGCAAAAUGGUACCGUAACUUCGGGAGAAGGUACGCUGUUGUUGGUGAUGGAACUCGCUUCCUGAGCUGACGACAGCCGCAGAAACCAGGCCGCUGCAACUGUUUAUUAAAAACAUAGCACUCUGCAAACACGAAAGUGGACGUAUAGGGUGUGAUGCCUGCCCGGUGCUGGAAGGUUAAUUGAUGGGGUUAGCGUAAGCGAAGCUCUUGAUCGAAGCCCCAGUAAACGGCGGCCGUAACUAUAACGGUCCUAAGGUAGCGAAAUUCCUUGUCGGGUAAGUUCCGACCUGCACGAAUGGCAUAAUGAUGGCGGCGCUGUCUCCAGCAGAGGCUCAGUGAAAUCGAAAUCGCUGUGAAGAUGCAGUGUACCCGCGGCUAGACGGAAAGACCCCGUGAACCUUUACUGCAGCUUGACACUGAACUUUGACCUUACUUGUGUAGGAUAGGUGGGAGGCUUUGAAGCUGGAACGCUAGUUCCAGUGGAGCCGUCCUUGAAAUACCACCCUGGUAAUGUUGAGGUUCUAACUCUGUCCCGUGAUCCGGGACGAGGACCGUGUCUGGUGGGUAGUUUGACUGGGGCGGUCUCCUCCUAAAGAGUAACGGAGGAGUACGAAGGUGCGCUCAGCGUGGUCGGAAAUCACGCGUAGAGUAUAAAGGCAAAAGCGCGCUUAACUGCGAGACCCACAAGUCGAGCAGGUACGAAAGUAGGUCUUAGUGAUCCGGUGGUUCUGUAUGGAAGGGCCAUCGCUCAACGGAUAAAAGGUACUCUGGGGAUAACAGGCUGAUACCGCCCAAGAGUUCAUAUCGACGGCGGUGUUUGGCACCUCGAUGUCGGCUCAUCUCAUCCUGGGGCUGAAGCAGGUCCCAAGGGUAUGGCUGUUCGCCAUUUAAAGAGGUACGCGAGCUGGGUUUAGAACGUCGUGAGACAGUUCGGUCCCUAUCUACCGUGGGCGCUGGAAAUUUGAGAGGAUCUGCUCCUAGUACGAGAGGACCAGAGUGGACGAACCUCUGGUGUACCGGUUGUGACGCCAGUCGCAUCGCCGGGUAGCUAUGUUCGGAAGGGAUAACCGCUGAAAGCAUCUAAGCGGGAAGCCUACCUCAAGAUAAGAUUUCCCUAGGACUUUAUGUCCUCUAAAGAGCCGUUCGAGACUAGGACGUUGAUAGGUUGGAUGUGGAAGCAUAGUGAUAUGUGAAGCUGACCAAUACUAAUUGCUCGUGAGGCUUGACUAUACAACACCCAAGCAGUUG
Molecule: ribosomal RNA, 1622 nt
Filed under: Acinetobacter baumannii
Lineage: Bacteria; Pseudomonadati; Pseudomonadota; Gammaproteobacteria; Moraxellales; Moraxellaceae
Description: partial 23S ribosomal RNA
Rfam family: Bacterial large subunit ribosomal RNA
Source: RNAcentral